CAGAGGGGGCAAGCGUUAUUCGGAAUUAUUGGGCGUAAAGGGCGCGUAGGCGGCUUUUCAAGUGACGGGUGAAAUCCCUCGGCUUAACCGAGGAACUGCCUGUCAGACUGGAAGGCUUGAGACCGGGAGAGGUGAGUGGAAUUCCCAGUGUAGCGGUGAAAUGCGUAGAUAUUGGGAGGAACACCAGUGGCGAAGGCGGCUCACUGGACCGGAACUGACGCUGAGGCGCGAAAGCGUGGGGAGCAAACAGGAUUAGAUACCCUGGUAGUCCACGCCGUAAACGAUGAGUGCUUGGUGUAGCGGGUAUCGACCCCUGCUGUGCCGACGUCAACACAUUAAGCACUCCGCCUGGGGAGUACGGUCGCAAGACUG
RNAcentral lists this ribosomal RNA (372 nucleotides) under uncultured organism. RNAcentral's name for it is "bacterial SSU rRNA". It matches the Rfam family "Bacterial small subunit ribosomal RNA", at positions 526 to 896 of the family's 1533-position model. The record is from RNAcentral.